AACGAACGCUGGCGGCAUGCCUAACACAUGCAAGUCGAACGAGACCUUCGGGUCUAGUGGCGCACGGGUGCGUAACGCGUGGGAACCUGCCCUUAGGUUCGGAAUAACUCCCCGAAAGGGGUGCUAAUACCGGAUAAUGUCUUCGGACCAAAGAUUUAUCGCCUUUGGAUGGGCCCGCGUUGGAUUAGCUAGUUGGUAGGGUAAAAGCCUACCAAGGCGACGAUCCAUAGCUGGUCUGAGAGGAUGAUCAGCCACACUGGGACUGAGACACGGCCCAGACUCCUACGGGAGGCAGCAGUGGGGAAUAUUGGACAAUGGGCGAAAGCCUGAUCCAGCAAUGCCGCGUGAGUGAUGAAGGCCUUAGGGUUGUAAAACUCUUUUACCCGGGAUGAUAAUGACAGUACCGGGAGAAUAAGCUCCGGCUAACUCCGUG
Molecule: ribosomal RNA, 433 nt
Filed under: uncultured bacterium
Lineage: Bacteria
Description: partial 16S ribosomal RNA
Rfam family: Bacterial small subunit ribosomal RNA
Source: RNAcentral